Triticum dicoccoides is the source of this 4019-nucleotide RNA transcript. RefSeq lists it as uncharacterized. The transcript is spliced from 2 exons. The record is from RefSeq and is a predicted model, not a curated record. Lineage: Eukaryota; Viridiplantae; Streptophyta; Magnoliopsida; Poales; Poaceae.
GUCCCCACGCCCGCGCGAGCGCUACCUCUCUCACCCCCUGCGCCGCCGCCUUCUCCCCCCAAGCUUCGGCUCCACCAAGGUAGCCCGGCCGAUUCUCGCAGCCCAUUGAAAGCCGGCACGCCGACGGCCUUCGUCCUCUCGCGCCGGCCCGUCACCGCGAUCCCCGCCGGCACGGGCGCCUAUCCCCACCUUGCUCCUUCUCCCCGCUCGCGACGCCGUUGCCGCGCGCCUCCAUGAACUUCUCCGACGACUGGCGCUUCCUCUUCCCCGUCUCCUCCGUGUUCAACCCGCCGUCCCUCGCCCCGCCGGACGCCUCCCACGGGCCCCUCUUCUUCACCCCUCUCCUGCCGCCCGCCCCGCUCCUCUCCCUCCCCUUCCCCUUCCCUCCGCCCCUGCACGCCUCCACCACCGGUGACCUCCGCCACGCCCUCCGCUACUUCGUCGCCUCCACCUCCUUCCUCCCCUACUCCGAUCUCAAGUCCCUCUCGGGACCCCUCCUCGCCGCGCCGUCGCCGCCGUUCCCACCGCCUUCCAAUCUUCUCGCCGUCCUCCCCUCCCGCUCCGCGAGCUCUCUCGUCCUCUUUUUCCCGUACGGCGAGAAUGCGGAGAAGAUUGCUUUCGCUCUUGUGAACUCGCCCGUUGCGAGCUCUGCCCCCGUUUCGCUCUUCGUUCAGAGUGAUGGGUUCAAGCACCCUGGGCACCGCAUACAGCAGUUUGCUGCUAUUCCUGCCCAGUCGUCCUGGUCAUCGGAGCCGGAUGACAGCUGCGUCGAGGGUUUCCUGCUUGCUGCGACAUUGUACUCAGUGAGUUGGUUCAGGGUCGAGUCACGCCAUUCGGGUUCCCUGGUGCUUGUACCGGUGGCCAAGCAGGGGUUUGAUGCUGCUGUCGUGCAUGCGUGCUGGAGCAGGCAUUUUCCGUCACAAUGUGCGGUGCUGCUGGAGAGUGGGGAGUUGUGUUGGUUUGAUCUGAAUACACGACUUGGAGGAAAGACGAGCGUUGGUUUUGGCAGCAAUGGUGAAGACUGGGGGGACUGGCUGAGCUGUGCGUAUGGAGCACAACCGUGGAUGGUGAUCGUCGCAAGCUCAAAAGCCGUCCUUUUGGUUGAUUUGAGCUUUGUAGAUCAUGGUGACAAAUACGUCGUGGAAAACGAGCCACACAAGUUUCAGUACAAGGUUCUAGCAAAAAUUGGGUUGCCAGGGUUGUUUGAAACUGAGCCUUUUGACAGGACUGAGCAUUAUAUUGCAUUCUGUAAGGCUGGGUUCGAUGAUUCCCAUAUAUCAGUAGUGACAGAGCGUCACUUGAUUCUCCUUGAUGUGACAAAGCCCUUGGAACCUGUGUUGGCUUGGCAGCAUGGGCUUGAGAACCCAAAUCAUGUUGCCAUGUUUCGGCUAUCUGAAUUGAGACCUUCCAAGGAAUAUGAAUGGGCUUCAAAUUCAGGUUUUGCCAUUUUGGUUGGUUCGUUCUGGAAUGGGGAGUUCAGUUUGUUCUGUUACGGGCCUAAGGAGCAAGGUUGCCCAGAUAGUUCUCAUUUAUACGCUUGGGAUAUUCCUUCGAGGCUUUCUCUGACAGGUCAGCAUUGUGGCUGCAGCAAUGGAAUCAUGAAAGAGAUAUUCUCAACGCCUGUUUCAGUAUAUGAUGGGUAUGCUUCCCAACACCGCGCUAAGUCCAUUGUUGGCUACUAUGUGCUUCCAGAUGACCUCCCAAUAUCAGAGCCAACAUCUGCCAGCUUUGCCUUGAUCCGGCUAACAGCAUUGGGGAAGUUAGAAAUGCAACAGUAUCGUGCAUCUCGAGGUCUGCAUGAUGAAAUUGACACCCCAUGUGAUGAAUCAGAACAUGCAUCCAUCGAUAGUUGUUCAUCCAUUUUGAUUGACACUCAAGGUGAAAAUGUCUCAACCAAAUAUCGAUUCUUGAAGUUGCAUUUCCUAUAUGAACAUCUGAAGGGCAAUCUAUGCAGUGCGUUGGCGAAGCAUGGUAGUAGUGUUAACGGAGACGGAGAUCAAAUUAUUAUUAGUGAAGAUGUGUUGGCAUUUGCAGAGGAUAACUCUAGAUCCAGCGUGCUGCCAGUUUCAGAUUUCCUAUGUAAUGCUAGCAUCCCCAUGAAUGUUUUCGAAAUUGCAUGUCAGAGCAUAUUGAACAGUCUACCUUCAAAUAUUCUUCAUGUCUCCCUUUCUAAAUACAAGGACAUGCUAAAAUGUGGUACAAAAGAAGGCUUAUUAGAAUAUUUAAAAGUUCCUAGCUGUUCGCCACACAAUGAACUUCGGCCUUUCCUGUUAGCGAAACCAUCAAGCACAUGUGAGAAGGUGACUAGCAAAGCGGUAUCUCAAAAUGCUCUUGUUGGGCCAGUGCUCCCUGUGCAUGUCCUACUUGCAUUGGAAGAGAUGAACAGGGGCAUAGACAGCCCUUCGGAAAGAGAAACUGCAGAAACUGACUUGGUACGCCAUCGAUGUAGUGAGGUGCUUGGAGCCUUUGUUCCUGAAGUAUCCAUUGCUGAAUCCGACAACUUUGAUGGAUGGUUCUCCUCACAAAAGUUGAAUGACAAGAAGUCAUAUCUUGUUUACGAGCCUUGGAUUGAAAAUAAGUUUACUCUUGAUGAAACUGUUAUAAAGAAGGAAAACGAAGAGCAAAAGGCCGCUGAUUGUACAUCUUUUGAAACGUCUGCAGCAGCAUACAAGGAUGAGAAUUUCACGACAUUUGUCUAUGGAAAAGCUGGGACUCUUGAUUCUGGGCCUGAACAAACCACAUCUGAUUUGUUUGAUUUCACCCCAGUGAGGAUGGAUUUUGCUUCCACAGAUCUAGACAUUCAACCUGCUGAGGAAGAAAUAUACAGAUGCUUGAAGAAACAAUUUGUAAGAUGGCAAAAUAAUUUCAAGCCUUACCAAGAUUUUUGUAGCUCAUAUAAAAUACAAAAGCCAUCAUAAUGGCCUGCAGUGCUCCAUUCAGUUGUAGCAGGUAUUUUGCAUUUCCAUGUGAUGACAUGUAAAUUUGUUGAGAAAAGGACAGACUAGUAAUAUAUACGCUCUCAGAUACUUGGCCUGGUAUAGACAUACAGUGCUGUUUGCAUAUUUCAAACACUUCUUGGGAGUUAGAUGCUGUGGGCGGCGCUGUAAAUUAUGAAGGGGUAGGAUUCGAAUAACUCGGUUUAAAAUACUCCCUCCGUCCUAAAAUAAGUGUCUCAACUUUGUACUAACUUUAGUAGAGGGAGUAGUAUACUAUUUUGUUAAGCUUUCUACCAUGUUAUUUUUGACAAUGUGUAUGUUAAGAUACAAUUUUGUCACUGGCCAGGAUUGCAAUAGACCUCCUUUUCAAUUACAGUUUUUAACCUUCACUUUUGACUGUUAGCACAACUCAUAUGACCCUGAGAAAAUUUGCAGCCAUCAUUUUGUUCCUUUGGAGUUUGAAUACAUGCUUAUAUUCAGAUACUGUGUAGCAUUAACCAGGGCCGUAGUUAACCUGUUUUAUUUUCAGUGCUCAAACAUUUCUUUUCUUUUUUACAGCACCUAUUCUAUUGACAGGAUUUGCCACCUUGAGGUGCAUUUAACAGGAAUUUCACGCACUUGAUGUUAAGCAUUGGUGCGCCAUUUAUAGACCGUGUAGCAAGGCAGCAAGAGUCCAAGCCAUAUUGGGGCAUUACAUAGGCGACAAGGAGGGAGUGCUAUUGCAUCAAAAGUUAAACAUUUUGCUGAGUGACAACUACGAGCAUUAGCGCAGGCGUUCUUUUCUUUUCUUCUUCUUUGUUGAGAGAAAUCGUGUGGCAGUUGUAACCUAACCAGAUACGUGCACUCGUAAAAAAAAACUGUCUCACAUGAGUUUUUCUUCAUUUCAGUUGAGCCAAAACCUGCCAUUUGGGCAAAGUUUUUUGGCUGAAUUCUUAGUUUGCUAUGGGCUGCAACGAUAGUGGCGUGUUUGCCUGUUGAACUGUGCAGUGCAAGUGUACAUAUUUUUUCUUGAGCACGGACCAUUGUAUCUCAUGAUUCUGAAGCUCCAUGCUGAUGCAUGAAAGCAAAUCCAGUCACAUGAUG